RNAcentral lists this long non-coding RNA (392 nucleotides) under Rattus norvegicus (Norway rat). RNAcentral's name for it is "long non-coding RNA NONRATT002788". Lineage: Eukaryota; Metazoa; Chordata; Mammalia; Rodentia; Muridae. The record is from RNAcentral.
GCAUGGAUAGUGGUGUGUCUCCUAGGUGAUUCUAGAUCCUGUCAAAAAUGACAACUGAGAGCAACUUAUCUCCCUGAGGACUGCUGCUGACCACCAUGAAGCUCCUCAGAGAUUCCCUUUUAAGUGCUGAUGAUGCUGUUUGUAGUAGAGUGUUGUCAAAAUUGCACAAAGCCUCCAUUUCUUCCUCCAACACCACAAACAAAACACAGAAAAACAUGUCCAUAGCUCACCCCUGGACUCUUUGGCACCAUUGCUCAGCUUUCACUUUUCAAAUUUACCUUUUUGGGGGAAGGAAGGCUUCAAGGAUGGAGGGUGGAAGAACUGGAAGAAGAGUGGGAUUGGGGUGCAUGAUGUGAAUUUCCCAAAGAUUCAAUAAAGAAUUAUAUUAAAUG